RNAcentral lists this ribosomal RNA (484 nucleotides) under uncultured bacterium. RNAcentral's name for it is "partial 16S ribosomal RNA". It matches the Rfam family "Bacterial small subunit ribosomal RNA", at positions 30 to 507 of the family's 1533-position model. The record is from RNAcentral.
AUUGAACGCUGGCGGCAGGCCUAACACAUGCAAGUCGAGCGGAUGAAGGGAGCUUGCUCCUGGAUUCAGCGGCGGACGGGUGAGUAAUGCCUAGGAAUCUGCCUGGUAGUGGGGGAUAACGUCCGGAAACGGGCGCUAAUACCGCAUACGUCCUGAGGGAGAAAGUGGGGGAUCUUCGGACCUCACGCUAUCAGAUGAGCCUAGGUCGGAUUAGCUAGUUGGUGGGGUAAAGGCCUACCAAGGCGACGAUCCGUAACUGGUCUGAGAGGAUGAUCAGUCACACUGGAACUGAGACACGGUCCAGACUCCUACGGGAGGCAGCAGUGGGGAAUAUUGGGCAAAGGGCGAAAGCCUGAUCCAGCCAUGCCGCGUGUGUGAAGAAGGUCUUCGGAUUGUAAAGCACUUUAAGUUGGGAGGAAGGGCAGUAAGUUAAUACCUUGCUGUUUUGACGGUACCAACAGAAUAAGCACCGGCUAACUUCGUG